This 536-nucleotide ribosomal RNA is filed under the name Bacillus subtilis. Its description in RNAcentral is "bacterial SSU rRNA". It matches the Rfam family "Bacterial small subunit ribosomal RNA", at positions 707 to 1242 of the family's 1533-position model. The record is from RNAcentral. Lineage: Bacteria; Bacillati; Bacillota; Bacilli; Caryophanales; Bacillaceae.
CACCAGUGGCGAAGGCGAACUCUCUGGUCUGUAACUGACGCUGAGGAGCGAAAGCGUGGGGAGCGAACAGGAUUAGAUACCCUGGUAGUCCACGCCGUAAACGAUGAGUGCUAAGUGUUAGGGGGUUUCCGCCCCUUAGUGCUGCAGCUAACGCAUUAAGCACUCCGCCUGGGGAGUACGGUCGCAAGACUGAAACUCAAAGGAAUUGACGGGGGCCCGCACAAGCGGUGGAGCAUGUGGUUUAAUUCGAAGCAACGCGAAGAACCUUACCAGGUCUUGACAUCCUCUGACAAUCCUAGAGAUAGGACGUCCCCUUCGGGGGCAGAGUGACAGGUGGUGCAUGGUUGUCGUCAGCUCGUGUCGUGAGAUGUUGGGUUAAGUCCCGCAACGAGCGCAACCCUUGAUCUUAGUUGCCAGCAUUCAGUUGGGCACUCUAAGGUGACUGCCGGUGACAAACCGGAGGAAGGUGGGGAUGACGUCAAAUCAUCAUGCCCCUUAUGACCUGGGCUACACACGUGCUACAAUGGACAGAACAA